AAUAGAUACCCAGGUAGUCCAUGCCGUAAACGUUGGGCACUAGGUGUGGGGGACAUUCCACGUUUUCCGCGCCGUAGCUAACGCAUUAAGUGCCCCGCCUGGGGAGUACGGCCGCAAGGCUAAAACUCAAAGGAAUUGACGGGGGCCCGCACAAGCGGCGGAGCAUGCGGAUUAAUUCGAUGCAACGCGAAGAACCUUACCAAGGCUUGACAUGUUCCAGACCGGGCUAGAGAUAGUCCUUCCCUUCGGGGCUGGUUCACAGGUGGUGCAUGGUUGUCGUCAGCUCGUGUCGUGAGAUGUUGGGUUAAGUCCCGCAACGAGCGCAACCCUCGUUCCAUGUUGCCAGCACGUAGUAGUGGGGACUCAUGGGAGACUGCCGGGGUCAACUCGGAGGAAGGUGGGGAUGACGUCAAAUCAUCAUGCCCCUUAUGUCUUGGGCUUCACGCAUGCUACAAUGGCCGGUACAAUGGGUUGCGAUACUGUGAGGUGGAGCUAAUCCCUAAAAGCCGGUCUCAGUUCGGAUUGGGGUCUGCAACUCCG
This 540-nucleotide ribosomal RNA is filed under the name uncultured bacterium. RNAcentral describes it as "bacterial SSU rRNA". It matches the Rfam family "Bacterial small subunit ribosomal RNA", at positions 777 to 1314 of the family's 1533-position model. The record is from RNAcentral.